RNAcentral lists this ribosomal RNA (239 nucleotides) under uncultured bacterium. RNAcentral describes it as "partial 16S ribosomal RNA". It matches the Rfam family "Bacterial small subunit ribosomal RNA", at positions 15 to 244 of the family's 1533-position model. The record is from RNAcentral.
GAUCCUGGCUCAGGAUGAACGCUAGCUACAGGCUUAACACAUGCAAGUCGAGGGGCAGCAUUUUAGUUUGCUUGCAAACUAAAGAUGGCGACCGGCGCACGGGUGAGUAACACGUAUCCAACCUGCCGAUAACUCGGGGAUAGCCUUUCGAAAGAAAGAUUAAUAUCCGAUAGCAUAUUGAGAUCGCAUGAUUUUGAUAUUAAAGAAUUUCGGUUAUCGAUGGGGAUGCGUUCCAUUAG